RNAcentral lists this transfer RNA (73 nucleotides) under Phrynosoma platyrhinos (Desert horned lizard). Its description in RNAcentral is "tRNA-OTHER". Lineage: Eukaryota; Metazoa; Chordata; Lepidosauria; Squamata; Phrynosomatidae. The record is from RNAcentral.
GGCCAGCAUGGUGUAGUGGUUUGAGCAUUGGACUAUGACUUUGGAGACUGGGGUUCAAAUCCCAUUUUGGCCA